UACAGAGGCCCCAAGCGUUACUGAGAAUCACUGGGUUUAAAGGGUGCGUAGGUGGUCCGUUAAGUCCGUUGUGAAAUCCCUGGGCUCAACCCAGGAAAUGCUUCGGAUACUGGCGGACUUGAGGCCGGUAUGGGUCACUGGAACUGACGGUGGAGCGGUGAAAUGCGUAGAUAUCGUCAGGAACGCCAAUGGUGAAGACAGGUGACUGGGCCGGUUCUGACACUGAGGCACGAAAGCGUGGGGAGCGAACGGG
Molecule: ribosomal RNA, 253 nt
Filed under: uncultured bacterium
Lineage: Bacteria
Description: partial 16S ribosomal RNA
Rfam family: Bacterial small subunit ribosomal RNA
Source: RNAcentral